RNAcentral lists this long non-coding RNA (253 nucleotides) under Musa acuminata (dwarf banana). Its description in RNAcentral is "long non-coding RNA (MACU_LNC010778)". The record is from RNAcentral. Lineage: Eukaryota; Viridiplantae; Streptophyta; Magnoliopsida; Zingiberales; Musaceae.
UGUUGUGUUUAGGAAAAACUUUUGACGUUAAAAUCGUUGACGCAAAAGCGAGAAAGGGCAGCAACAGUUGCUACCCUCGAUCUGCGUGCAUGUAGUGCAGCCGCAAGCAGGCAGCACAGGGGCUACGACUGUAGUAGCCGGCCGACGGCCUACUUGCAGCAGGCUUGCGACCGACGGGGCUGGCAGCUCACGGGUAGAGGCGCCUGCGGUCAUUUCUCCCGCGAGGUGAGGCACCGCAGGGUAGCGGGGGGAC